Molecule: non-coding RNA, 2087 nt
Organism: Doryrhamphus excisus (bluestripe pipefish)
Lineage: Eukaryota; Metazoa; Chordata; Actinopteri; Syngnathiformes; Syngnathidae
Source: RefSeq, a predicted model, not a curated record
UCAAUUACCUUUGUUGUGGUAAACUUUUAAGUGUAAAACUUUUUGAUGAAGCUUUUUCAAAUGUACUUGAGGUUUCCUUCUAUUAUUCCAAUCACCUCCGGGCCUUUUUAGCUUAUUAUUCAUGAAGAUAAAUUAUAUGGUGACAUUUUCCUUCAUUCGUCUUAUCAUAACCCCUGCACUUAUCUAAUCUACAAGAGAUAUUACAGCCCAUUUCUGAUCGAAGCAAAAGUACCUUCCCCCUGUCUGUCAGCCUCUUUCCCGCACACAGAGUAAUUACCCAAUGCCUCCUCUGCCCAUCUUAUCACGCUGCUGGGUAAUUAAAGCCCUCACACUUUGCUGUCCCCAUCUUCAGUGAAUGAUUGGAGAAUUACACAAAGCCCAACCUGUGACCCCCAUUACCGUCAAAAACCGUAGCCGUUAAAGCUUUUGGAUGGAAACUUUGUGAGGCCUGUUUCUUUUUGUACAUUUUAUUUUGCUCUUACCUUAGCUCCGCUUGGUCCUGCAGGUCCAGCAGAUCCGGAAUCUCCAGCAGGACCCUGUUUGAACAAAUAAUUAACACAUUAGAGAACAAAGAGGAGGCUGAUUAGAAUGCAGAAGUUUUGAAUUUCUUACAGGAGGUCCAGGAAGACCCUGCAGACCCGUGAAUCCACGAUGACCCUUCUGUCCUCUCUCACCAGCUUCACCGCUUUCUCCCUUAUCUCCACGUGGUCCUUGGGGUCCCUGGAAUCAGGAAUGAAGUCUUACAUUUCAAAACUUCAAGCAGCACUCAACUAUAAUCUUUUCCAUCAGAAGCGGAUUAGAAGUUUUCAUUUCGUGGAGAUGAUACUUACAGCCAUUCCUCGUGCACCGGCAAGUCCAGGUGGUCCCGCAGGUCCUUGUGCACCCUGAUGAAAGAGGAGUCCAGGUUCAUAGGUCCGACAGGUCCAGGGGCACCGGGAGCACCAGGAGCACCAGGGGCACCAGCAGGACCAGUGUUACCUCGCUCUCCCUGCAGGAAAACACAAAAUACUGACUUAGUGACUUCACUGUCAUCAGGUUCUUCCAGCAAAGAACAGAGACAGUUUCUAAGAGUUUCUUAAGUUCGUUUUUCGGUUUUCUCUCACCUUGAUUCCAACAGAUCCAUCCCUACCGGGUGGUCCAUCUGAUCCGGGUGUACCCUGAAACACAGGAGGACUUUAUUCAAUACCUCAUGAUGAAUAUAAACAUAGUCGUUUAUGUGUUGGUUUGUCUUAAAUCCUCAUCACCCUACCUCUCUUCCAGUCUCUCCAGCAGGUCCAGUAAGUCCAGGGGGUCCUACAGGUCCGGGAGGUCCACGGUCACCAGAAGAGCCAGGACCUCCUUGUUUCCCAGGCUCACCCUGAACACGGAAAGGUCCAGGAAGGCCAGGGAAGCCUCUUUCUCCACGCUGACCAGGCAAACCGACAAUACCACGAGAUCCAGCCAGACCCUGAGGACCUGAGGGUCCAUCUGCACCCUACAGAGACAGAAAGGAUAGCAUCCAACACAGCUCUCCUCACAGCAGGAAGAAACUAAUCAGGGGGGGAACUCACAGGGGGUCCAUCUUCUCCGGGCUCGCCCUUCUCUCCUUGUGCGCCAGCAGGUCCUCGAAGGCCAGCAUCUCCCUGUCUUCCAGGGGGUCCAGCGUCACCACGGGCACCCUUUGGUCCAUCUUUGCCAGCAGGACCGGCAGGUCCAACAGAGCCAGGGUUACCCUGUGAUAUAGAAACAAGAUCUUUAGUCCUGGGAUGCCACCGGCUCCUCUCUCUCCAGGCAUACCCUGCAGGCCAGGGGGUCCCUGGGAUCCAGCAGCUCCAGCUGGUCCAAUGGCCCCCUAAAUCAGAAGUGUACCAGGAAGUCCACGAGGUCCCUGAAGACCCUGAGGACCAGCACCACCUCGCUCACCAGGGAAACCACGUUCACCCUAUCAGGAAACAAGUAGAAGAAAUGUAAUAUUAUACACCAGGAGCUCCACCUUCUCCAGGAACACCCUGCAGAGAGAGACCGGAGAUGAGUUCAUUCCAGGUUAAGGAAUCAUUUUAUACUCAAAGGGAUGUUCUGUUCUCUACGUUCUGUUCUGUACCAGCUCU